GACGAACGCUGGCGGCGUGCUUAACACAUGCAAGUCGAGCGGUAAGGCUCCUUCGGGAGUACACGAGCGGCGAACGGGUGAGUAACACGUGAGCAAUCUGCCCUUCUCUUUGGAAUAAGCGUUGGAAACGACGUCUAAUGCCGAAUACGACCUCCUUUCGCAUGAUCGGAGGUGGAAAGCUCCGGCGGAGAAGGAUGAGCUCGCGGCCUAUCAGCUAGUUGGGUGGGUAAUGGCCCACCAAGGCGACGACGGGUAGCCGGCCUGAGAGGGUGACCGGCCACACUGGGACUGAGACACGGCCCAGACUCCUACGGGAGGCAGCAGUGGGGAAUAUUGGACAAUGGGCGAAAGCCUGAUCCAGCAACGCCGCGUGAGGGAUGACGGCCUGG
Molecule: ribosomal RNA, 389 nt
Filed under: uncultured bacterium
Lineage: Bacteria
Description: bacterial SSU rRNA
Rfam family: Bacterial small subunit ribosomal RNA
Source: RNAcentral